RNAcentral lists this transfer RNA (71 nucleotides) under Scarturus williamsi (William's jerboa). Its description in RNAcentral is "tRNA-Gln". It matches the Rfam family "tRNA". From Rfam's summary of the family: Transfer RNA (tRNA) molecules are approximately 80 nucleotides in length. Their secondary structure includes four short double-helical elements and three loops (D, anti-codon, and T loops). The record is from RNAcentral. Lineage: Eukaryota; Metazoa; Chordata; Mammalia; Rodentia; Dipodidae.
UAGAAUUUGGUGUACUGGUAGCACGAAGAUUUUUGAAUUCUUAAGAGUAGGUUCGAGACCUAUAGUUCUAG